AACGAACGCUGGCGGCAUGCCUAACACGUGCAAGUCGAACGAGACCUUCGGGUCUAGUGGCGCACGGGUGCGUAACGCGUGGGAACCUGCCCUUAGGUUCGGAAUAACUCCCCGAAAGGGGUGCUAAUACCGGAUAAUGUCUUCGGACCAAAGAUUUAUCGCCUUUGGAUGGGCCCGCGUUGGAUUAGCUAGUUGGUAGGGUAAAAGCCUACCAAGGCGACGAUCCAUAGCUGGUCUGAGAGGAUGAUCAGCCACACUGGGACUGAGACACGGCCCAGACUCCUACGGGAAGCAGCAGUGGGGAAUAUUGGACAAUGGGCGAAAGACUGAUCCAGCAAUGCCGCGUGAGUGAUGAAGGCCUUAGGGUUGUAAAGCUCUUUUACCCGGGAUGAUAAUGACAGUACCGGGAGAAUAAGCUCCGGCUAACUCCGUG
RNAcentral lists this ribosomal RNA (433 nucleotides) under uncultured bacterium. Its description in RNAcentral is "partial 16S ribosomal RNA". It matches the Rfam family "Bacterial small subunit ribosomal RNA", at positions 29 to 507 of the family's 1533-position model. The record is from RNAcentral.